Molecule: ribosomal RNA, 1370 nt
Filed under: uncultured bacterium
Lineage: Bacteria
Description: 16S ribosomal RNA
Rfam family: Bacterial small subunit ribosomal RNA
Source: RNAcentral
UGAACGCUGGCGGCAUGCCUUACACAUGCAAGUCGAACGGCAGCAUGAUCUAGCUUGCUAGAUUGAUGGCGAGUGGCGAACGGGUGAGUAAUACAUCGGAACGUGCCCUGUAGUGGGGGAUAACUAGUCGAAAGAUUAGCUAAUACCGCAUACGACCUGAGGGUGAAAGUGGGGGACCGCAAGGCCUCAUGCUAUAGGAGCGGCCGAUGUCUGAUUAGCUAGUUGGUGAGGUAAAGGCUCACCAAGGCGACGAUCAGUAGCUGGUCUGAGAGGACGAUCAGCCACACUGGGACUGAGACACGGCCCAGACUCCUACGGGAGGCAGCAGUGGGGAAUUUUGGACAAUGGGGGCAACCCUGAUCCAGCAAUGCCGCGUGUGUGAAGAAGGCCUUCGGGUUGUAAAGCACUUUUGUCCGGAAAGAAAUCGCACUUACUAAUAUUAGGUGUGGAUGACGGUACCGGAAGAAUAAGGACCGGCUAACUACGUGCCAGCAGCCGCGGUAAUACGUAGGGUCCAAGCGUUAAUCGGAAUUACUGGGCGUAAAGCGUGCGCAGGCGGUUGUGCAAGACCGAUGUGAAAUCCCCGGGCUUAACCUGGGAAUUGCAUUGGUGACUGCACGGCUAGAGUGUGUCAGAGGGGGGUAGAAUUCCACGUGUAGCAGUGAAAUGCGUAGAGAUGUGGAGGAAUACCGAUGGCGAAGGCAGCCCCCUGGGAUAACACUGACGCUCAUGCACGAAAGCGUGGGGAGCAAACAGGAUUAGAUACCCUGGUAGUCCACGCCCUAAACGAUGUCAACUAGUUGUUGGGGAUUCAUUUCCUUAGUAACGUAGCUAACGCGUGAAGUUGACCGCCUGGGGAGUACGGUCGCAAGAUUAAAACUCAAAGGAAUUGACGGGGACCCGCACAAGCGGUGGAUGAUGUGGAUUAAUUCGAUGCAACGCGAAAAACCUUACCUACCCUUGACAUGCCACUAACGAAGCAGAGAUGCAUUAGGUGCUCGAAAGAGAAAGUGGACACAGGUGCUGCAUGGCUGUCGUCAGCCCGUGUCGUGAGAUGUUGGGUUAAGUCCCGCAACGAGCGCAACCCUUGUCUCUAGUUGCUACGAAAGGGCACUCUAGAGAGACUGCCGGUGACAAACCGGAGGAAGGUGGGGAUGACGUCAAGUCCUCAUGGCCCUUAUGGGUAGGGCUUCACACGUCAUACAAUGGUGCAUACAGAGGGUUGCCAAGCCGCGAGGUGGAGCUAAUCCCAGAAAAUGCAUCGUAGUCCGGAUCGUAGUCUGCAACUCGACUACGUGAAGCUGGAAUCGCUAGUAAUCGCGGAUCAGCAUGCCGCGGUGAAUACGUUCCCGGGUCUUGUACUCACCGCC